This 399-nucleotide unclassified non-coding RNA is filed under the name Pleosporaceae sp. 461P. Its description in RNAcentral is "sequence contains 18S rRNA gene, ITS1, 5.8S rRNA gene, ITS2". The stretch from base 186 to 340 matches the Rfam family "5.8S ribosomal RNA". Lineage: Eukaryota; Fungi; Ascomycota; Dothideomycetes; Pleosporales; Pleosporaceae. The record is from RNAcentral.
CAUUAUCCUUUUAUCAGGGAGUGACGCCGGUACUCUGGGUUUUUUGAUCAGGGUACUAGCUCAUCUCUUUCUGAUUCCACCCAUGUUUUUUGCGUACUACUUGUUUCCUUGGUGGGCUUGCCUGCCGAUAGGACAUGAAAAACCUUUUGUAAUUGCAGUCAGCGUCAGUACAAUGUAAUUAUUACAACUUUCAACAACGGAUCUCUUGGUUCUGGCAUCGAUGAAGAACGCAGCGAAAUGCGAUAAGUAGUGUGAAUUGCAGAAUUCAGUGAAUCAUCGAAUCUNUGAACGCACAUNGCGCCCCUUGGUAUUCCAUGGGNGCAUGCCUGUNCGAGCGUCANUNGUNCCCUNNAGCAUUGCUUGGUGUUGNGUGUAUGUAUCCNUUGNNAAACUCNCCUC